UACGGAGGGGGCAAGCGUUGUUCGGAAUUACUGGGCGUAAAGGGCGCGCAGGCGGCUGCUCAAGUCAGGCGUGAAAGGCCUGGGCUCAACCCGGGAAUUGCGCUUGAGACUGGGCUGGCUUGAGUGCGGGAGAGGAUGGUGGAAUUCCCAGUGUAGAGGUGAAAUUCGUAGAUAUUGGGAAGAACACCGGUGGCGAAGGCGGCUAUCUGGACCGACAUUGACGCUGAGGCGCGAAAGCGUGGGGAGCAAACAGG
Molecule: ribosomal RNA, 254 nt
Filed under: uncultured bacterium
Lineage: Bacteria
Description: partial 16S ribosomal RNA
Rfam family: Bacterial small subunit ribosomal RNA
Source: RNAcentral